This 902-nucleotide long non-coding RNA is filed under the name Setaria viridis. Its description in RNAcentral is "long non-coding RNA (SVIR_LNC003187)". Lineage: Eukaryota; Viridiplantae; Streptophyta; Magnoliopsida; Poales; Poaceae. The record is from RNAcentral.
UGCCAAACCGAUGAGACCAGUUUGACUGAGUUAGUUCCAAAACCUCCAGAGACACCUUCUCGGUCCACCUACUGGCUCAACCGACUUAAGUCAGCUGAGUCGGGUGAGUUAGCUCACUCAAGGGUUUCCUUAAGGUUAAUCUCACAUAGGUCAACUAAGAGCACUUUCGGUGUUAUCAAUUAACUAAUGUUGCAUUCCUAUUGAUAGUACGACAUACCUAUACUCAAGAAUAAAUAUAAACACAAUAUUAUCCGCUUGAGAUUAUAAGUCUUCAUCCAUGCCAUACUUUGAUCAAUAUUCACUUGAGGGCUCUCAACAUUGCUAUCAUUUUGAGCACAUCCAACUUGAGCUAGUGACUUAAGAUUUUCCAUCAUUCAUGAUAAGAUAUACUUGAAUCCUUAAGUCACUCCAUUUUAUCAAUCAUAAUAGAUUAGAUGCAUUGCAUUGCUUCCCUCGGUAAGGCUUAGAUAUGAUACUUUAAAACAUCUCGGAUACUAGCCACUUCACCUUAGCAAAACACACAUGGUCCAAGCCAUCGCUUAACCAAUCCUUGAUUAGUCCCUCGCUCUAACAUCUCGCUUCAUUUCUUCACCUAUUCUUACCACAUUGCGUUUAGCUUUGUUUUUUACAUCAACAAUGAAUUCCAUUUGAAAUCCUGUUCAAAUGCUUGUUCUUGAUUAAUAAUAGAAUAUCCCAUGAAUUGCAAGCUUCCAAUAAUAAGACCAAUAUGAAACACAUAAGCCCAUGUCCUUUUAUCAUAUACGUAUGACGUCUUGCAAUGUCCAAUUGUGAAUAUCACUAUUCUUUUCUUCAUGAUCCCUUCUCUUGUCAAUCAAGCUAUCACAUGAUUUGGGGACUUAUAGAUGAAACAUCAUAGAACAUAUCCCCAAGUUUCACUUCAC